GCCCGGUUAGCUCAGCUGGUUAGAGCGUCGUACUAAUAUAACAUCUGCUGUUAUAUCAAGUUCAUGCGAAGGUCAACAGUUCAAUCCUGUUACUGGGCA
Parathielavia appendiculata is the source of this 99-nucleotide non-coding RNA. NCBI's taxonomy places the organism in Eukaryota, Fungi, Ascomycota, Sordariomycetes, Sordariales, Chaetomiaceae. The record is from the annotation of a RefSeq genome assembly.